UGAGAGCGUUUUUGUGCGUGCCCC
RNAcentral lists this non-coding RNA (24 nucleotides) under Arabidopsis thaliana (thale cress). Lineage: Eukaryota; Viridiplantae; Streptophyta; Magnoliopsida; Brassicales; Brassicaceae. The record is from RNAcentral.